AUGCUCCCCUCCUCUGCACGUCAUCGCCUGAAGGUCACCGUUGCCGCCGCCGAUUUACUCCCCAUUCCCCUCCACCAUCGGUGUCCAUUGUGUCCGUCUCCAGGGAUCCAACUAUGGCCGUUGCUUUGUUUCCUUCCUUUUCUGAUAAUCUCGUCCACAACGCAGCGGUGGCGUGGUGCGGACAAUCGGAGGAAAGCAGGUAGGAAAGGCCCGACAGUGGUGCCACGCGGGAUGAAGCAACGGCGGCACAGGAGCUUCCCGGCGCAGGUCAUCUUCCUCUCCUUUGUCCUCCCCCAUUCCCCUCCUAGAUACUCGUUGAUUAAGAGGUACAAGUGGGUGGCCAACUGCAAUUUCUAG
Molecule: ribosomal RNA, 357 nt
Filed under: Triticum aestivum (bread wheat)
Lineage: Eukaryota; Viridiplantae; Streptophyta; Magnoliopsida; Poales; Poaceae
Description: partial small subunit ribosomal RNA
Source: RNAcentral